GUGCCAGCAGCCGCGGUAAUACGAAGGGUGCAAGCGUUACUCGGAAUUACUGGGCGUAAAGCGUGCGUAGGUGGUUCGUUAAGUCUGAUGUGAAAGCCCUGGGCUCAACCUGGGAAUUGCAUUGGAUACUGGCGGGCUAGAGUGCGGUAGAGGAUGGCGGAAUUCCCGGUGUAGCAGUGAAAUGCGUAGAGAUCGGGAGGAACAUCUGUGGCGAAGGCGGCCAUCUGGACCAGCACUGACACUGAGGCACGAAAGCGUGGGGAGCAAACAGGAUUAGAUACCCUGGUAGUCC
RNAcentral lists this ribosomal RNA (292 nucleotides) under uncultured microorganism. RNAcentral's name for it is "partial 16S ribosomal RNA". It matches the Rfam family "Bacterial small subunit ribosomal RNA", at positions 505 to 796 of the family's 1533-position model. The record is from RNAcentral.